RNAcentral lists this ribosomal RNA (490 nucleotides) under uncultured bacterium. RNAcentral describes it as "partial 16S ribosomal RNA". It matches the Rfam family "Bacterial small subunit ribosomal RNA", at positions 29 to 507 of the family's 1533-position model. The record is from RNAcentral.
AGUGAACGCUGGCGGUAGGCCUAACACAUGCAAGUCGAACGGCAGCACAGUAAGAGCUUGCUCUUACGGGUGGCGAGUGGCGGACGGGUGAGGAAUACAUCGGAAUCUACUUUUUCGUGGGGAAUAACGUAGGGAAACUUACGCUAAUACCGCAUACGACCUACGGGUGAAAGCAGGGGAUCUUCGGACCUUGCGCGAUUGAAUGAGCCGAUGUCGGAUUAGCUAGUUGGCGGGGUAAAGGCCCACCAAGGCGACGAUCCGUAGCUGGUCUGAGAGGAUGAUCAGCCACACUGGAACUGACACGGUCCAGACUCCUACGGGAGGCAGCAGUGGGGAAUAUUGGACAAUGGGCGCAAGCCUGAUCCAGCCAUACCGCGUGGGUGAAGAAGGCCUUCGGGUUGUAAAGCCCUUUUGUUGGGAAAGAAAAGCAGCAGGUUAAUACCCCGCUGUUCUGACGGUACCCAAAGAAUAAGCACCGGCUAACUUCGUG